Stegodyphus dumicola is the source of this 520-nucleotide long non-coding RNA. RefSeq lists it as uncharacterized. Lineage: Eukaryota; Metazoa; Arthropoda; Arachnida; Araneae; Eresidae. The record is from RefSeq and is a predicted model, not a curated record.
CGUGCACGAUUCAUCGUUACCCUUUCGUAUGCAAGCUGAGUUGAGUUGCUCACUAGGUCAGUAGGAAAGUGGUAUAUAAUAAAAGGCGACAUUUCCCGCUUUUAAAUACGUUAUAAACUAUCGCCGUGAUCAGGUCACUGCUAUAUACAGAGUUCUUCACAGAUUUGCGCAAUUGUCAAAAAUGAGACUGCUGCUGAUUGCCUUUCUUUUCAUCGGAAUCCUGCUCGUCCUUCCGGUCACGGAAUCGCAGAGCGUCGGAGACCAGAUUCGAUGCUGGACAUGCCCUGGUAACGAUGCCGAUCACAAAGAUUGCUGCGCGAAGGCCAAUAUGUGCUGCGAAGGACGUGUCAAGUUCGUUGGGAACUUCCCCAGACCUUCUACCACUUCGUACGGGAGAUAAAUAAACGUUUCUGAAAGCUCAUCUCUUAUUUCUGCUAAAAUAUGUGAUCAUUUUUAUUUUUUGAUUCUGUAAAUAGUGAUUAAAAGUUCAUGUAAAUAAAAGUUACUGUUCUUUUCUGCA